UGGGGAAUCUUGCGCAAUGGGCGAAAGCCUGACGCAGCAACGCCGCGUGCGGGAGGAAGGCCUUCGGGUUGUAAACCGCUUUCAGGAGGGACGAAGCUACCUGGGUUAAUAGCCCGUGGGGUGACGGCACCUCCAGAAGAAGCCCCGGCUAACUACGUGCCAGCAGCCGCGGUAAUACGUAGGGGGCAAGCGUUGUCCGGAUUUAUUGGGCGUAAAGAGCGUGUAGGCGGUUUGGUAGGUCCGCUGUGAAAACUCGAGGCUCAACCUCGAGACGCCGGUGGAAACCAUCAGGCUAGAGUCCGGAAGAGGAGAGUGGAAUUCCUGGUGUAGCGGUGAAAUGCGCAGAUAUCAGGAAGAACACCCGUGGCUAAGGCGGCUCUCUAGUACGGUACUGACGCUGAGACGCGAAAGCGUGGGGAGCGAACAGGAUUAGAUACCCGCGUAGUCC
This 448-nucleotide ribosomal RNA is filed under the name uncultured bacterium. RNAcentral's name for it is "bacterial SSU rRNA". It matches the Rfam family "Bacterial small subunit ribosomal RNA", at positions 355 to 796 of the family's 1533-position model. The record is from RNAcentral.